GUGGUACAGUGUAGAUCGCAUCUAAGUGCAUAAUCAAAACAAGUAUUUUUAUUUACGCCCAGAGACAGAUUUAUUAAUAAUUUGUUGUCUAAAUUUCAAUCAAGUGCAUUAUGAUACUUUGAUUCUUCCUAUGAUCAUCAACAAGAAUUCCAUCAAGGAGUCCAGAUCCGUAAUAUUUCAGAACUAGGAUUAUAGAACCAAAAAAAUAUAGUGCUCCGGGAUUUCACUCAACUCCGGGAUUCAUUCGGAUUGAUCGUUGGAUUUUCCGUUCAAAUCUCCAUCCGAUGCGAAUUACUUUCGGAGUCAUCAAGUGAACGGAAGUGAUCCUGGUAUGGAGCCGUAAUUAUAUUUGCGUUGGAUUGAAUGAUCAACGGCACCGGGCGGAAACGGAUCGCUUGAUGAUGUUGCUACCUGAAGAAUAAAAUUCCGCACCGAAAUCAAAGUUGCCAUCGUUAAGGCGUCUAUUGAUGGUUCGUUGAUAUUCGUGGCCUCAAGAGUGUAGCCGAUUCCAGGGCCGAUUCACUAUGGACAAAAGAUACUUUAGUUACCAGAUAAAGAUUGUCGCUGUCGUCGCUGUCCGGAACAUCUUUUGCUGGCUAAAUGUCAAAGAAGAAAAAUCCAUACGUUUUUAUAGCUUGGUACCCAACAUGCUACGGACAGCAGAAUAAAGGGAACCGAAGCGGCAAUCUUUAUCUGGUAACCAAAAUAUCUUUUCUAUGGACCAAUUUUGUUAUAGCCGCAAGGCCUUGGCGGCAUUUGUGUGUCGGAAGCAGGAACUGACAAGUGACGUUGGAAAGCAAAACAGUAACCUUGUUGGCAGCUAUAUGAACUAAUUGUUGAGUGCCACCGGGCCGUCGAUUUUUUAGUGCUUAAGAAGUCUGAGAUCUUUAAGAUCUAACGUUAACGAUUGUAGAUUCAAUAUGUUUUCUAUGCAAUGUAGUGAGAAUAUAAAUUGGUAUUUAUGACCAUAUAUGGCAUAUAAGAUAGUUAAGGAAUAGCGCCAAUGGGCGAAUUAAUGAUGAUCCCAGUCUAACCAAUGACAUUAAACUAUAACUGAAAUGUAAAUCAUACAUUAUUAUAUUGUUGUAAUAAAAACAAAUAAAAUAUGUCCAAUUAAA
Armigeres subalbatus is the source of this 1118-nucleotide long non-coding RNA. RefSeq lists it as uncharacterized. Lineage: Eukaryota; Metazoa; Arthropoda; Insecta; Diptera; Culicidae. The record is from RefSeq and is a predicted model, not a curated record. The transcript is spliced from 3 exons.